GGGUGCGAUCAUAGCAGCACUAAUGCACUGGAUCCCAUCAGAACUCUGGGGCAAAGCGUGCUUGGCAAGAGUAGUUCUAGGAUGGGUGCCUCCCGGGAAGUCCUCGUGUUGCACCCC
Molecule: ribosomal RNA, 117 nt
Filed under: Brassica rapa (field mustard)
Lineage: Eukaryota; Viridiplantae; Streptophyta; Magnoliopsida; Brassicales; Brassicaceae
Source: RNAcentral